Molecule: long non-coding RNA, 286 nt
Organism: Oncorhynchus masou masou (cherry salmon)
Lineage: Eukaryota; Metazoa; Chordata; Actinopteri; Salmoniformes; Salmonidae
Exons: 4
Source: RefSeq, a predicted model, not a curated record
CGAGAACCUUUACCAGGUCUUCAUCAACUACAAAGAGAGGUUGUUGCCGUAUGGGCGGUACUGCAGUCAGGUGGAAGCAGCUACUAAACACCUGGACAAGAUGUCCGCCAUGAAGGAAGGAGUUAAGAUGAAACUAGAGGAGUGCUCUAAGAGGGCUAACAGUGGCAGGUUCUCUCUGCGUGAUCUACUCAUGGUUCCCAUGCAGAGAGUCCUCAAAUACCACCUACUGCUCCAGGAGCUGGUGAAACACACCUCCAGCAAUGCAGAGAAAGAAAACCUUCGGACG